CAACAAGGCUCAGCGACAAAACACGAAGCAACCAAACACCGUCGGAAAGAAUCCGAACCGAAACCGCGUUCUUUCGGCGAAUUUCGUCGAAAAACGCACCGAAAUCGACCUACCGAUUUUCGCGAAAACUAACGGACCAUGGACAAUCAGUCCAGCGGUCAUUACAAACUCCCACACACUGCCCACAGUAGCCACGCAAA
This 200-nucleotide long non-coding RNA is filed under the name Ananas comosus (pineapple). RNAcentral's name for it is "long non-coding RNA (ACOM_LNC021060)". Lineage: Eukaryota; Viridiplantae; Streptophyta; Magnoliopsida; Poales; Bromeliaceae. The record is from RNAcentral.